CCGAGUUUGAAAGAUGGCUUCGGCUAUCACUUUUGGAUGGUCCCGCGGCGUAUUAGCUAGAUGGUGGGGUAACGGCUCACCAUGGCAAUGAUACGUAGCCGACCUGAGAGGGUAAUCGGCCACAUUGGGACUGAGACACGGCCCAAACUCCUACGGGAGGCAGCAGUAGGGAAUCUUCCACAAUGGACGAAAGUCUGAUGGAGCAACGCCGCGUGAGUGAAGAAGGGUUUCGGCUCGUAAAACUCUGUUGUUAAAGAAGAACAUAUCUGAGAGUAACUGUUCAGGUAUUGACGGUAUUUAACCAGAAAGCCACGGCUAACUACGUGCCAGCAGCCGCGGUAAUACGUAGGUGGCAAGCGUUGUCCGGAUUUAUUGGGCGUAAAGCGAGCG
This 390-nucleotide ribosomal RNA is filed under the name Lactiplantibacillus plantarum. RNAcentral describes it as "bacterial SSU rRNA". It matches the Rfam family "Bacterial small subunit ribosomal RNA", at positions 194 to 571 of the family's 1533-position model. The record is from RNAcentral. Lineage: Bacteria; Bacillati; Bacillota; Bacilli; Lactobacillales; Lactobacillaceae.